Molecule: ribosomal RNA, 497 nt
Filed under: uncultured bacterium
Lineage: Bacteria
Description: partial 16S ribosomal RNA
Rfam family: Bacterial small subunit ribosomal RNA
Source: RNAcentral
GAUGAACGCUGGCGGCGUGCCUAAUACAUGCCAGUCGAGCGAACGGACGAGAAGCUUGCUUCUCUGAUGUUAGCGGCGGACGGGUGAGUAACACGUGGAUAACCUACCUAUAAGACUGGGAUAACUUCGGGAAACCGGAGCUAAUACCGGAUGAUAUUUUGAACCGCAUGGUUCAAAAGUGAAAGACGGUCUUGCUGUCACUUAUAGAUGGAUCCGCGCUGCAUUAGCUAGUUGGUAAGGUAACGGCUUACCAAGGCAACGAUGAAUAGCCGACCUGAGAGGGUGAUCGGCCACACUGGAACUGAGACACGGUCCAGACUCCUACGGGAGGCAGCAGUAGGGAAUCUUCCGCAAUGGGCGAAAGCCUGACGGAGCAACGCCGCGUGAGUGAUGAAGGUCUUCGGAUCGUAAAACUCUGUUAUUAGGGAAGAACAUAUGUGUAAGUAACUGUGCACAUCUUGACGGUACCUAAUCAGAAAGCCACGGCUAACUACGUG